AUGCUACUGCCUCCAUCCCAAAAUUCUUGUCUUAGAUAUUUUUAGAUAUGAAUGUAUCUAGUCACGCUUUGGUCUUUAGAUACACUCAUUUCUAGACAAAACUAAGACAAGAAUUUUGGGACGAAGGGAGUAUUAU
RNAcentral lists this microRNA precursor (136 nucleotides) under Hordeum vulgare. RNAcentral's name for it is "microRNA MIR1122". It matches the Rfam family "MIR1120/MIR1122 microRNA precursor family". The record is from RNAcentral. Lineage: Eukaryota; Viridiplantae; Streptophyta; Magnoliopsida; Poales; Poaceae.